CCGAUAUGGCUCAGUUGGUAGAGCGGCGCAUUCGUAAUGCGUAGGUCAGGGGUUCGAGUCCCCUUAUCGG
This 70-nucleotide transfer RNA is filed under the name uncultured Roseburia sp. It matches the Rfam family "tRNA". From Rfam's summary of the family: Transfer RNA (tRNA) molecules are approximately 80 nucleotides in length. Their secondary structure includes four short double-helical elements and three loops (D, anti-codon, and T loops). The record is from RNAcentral. Lineage: Bacteria; Bacillati; Bacillota; Clostridia; Lachnospirales; Lachnospiraceae.